UGCAAGAUGGAUCUCGGAAAGGGC
Molecule: non-coding RNA, 24 nt
Filed under: Mus musculus (house mouse)
Lineage: Eukaryota; Metazoa; Chordata; Mammalia; Rodentia; Muridae
Source: RNAcentral